This 491-nucleotide long non-coding RNA is filed under the name Hordeum vulgare. RNAcentral's name for it is "long non-coding RNA (HVUL_LNC015701)". The record is from RNAcentral. Lineage: Eukaryota; Viridiplantae; Streptophyta; Magnoliopsida; Poales; Poaceae.
GGGGCGUAGGUUUCACUAGUGGCUUCUCUCGAGAAAAAUAGCAGGCGGUGGGUAGAUAAAUUAUUGUUGGGCAAUUGACAGAAAAGCAAAUAAUUAUGAUGAUAUGCAUGACAAUGAUCAUGUAUAUAGGCAUCACGUCCAAAAUAAGUAGAUCGACUUAUGCCUGCAUCUACUUCUGUUAGUCCACACAACGACCGCUAUCCAGCAUGCAUCUACGGUAGUGAGUUCAUGGAGAAAGGGAGUAAUGCCUUAAGAACGAUGACACGAUGUAGACAAGAUCUAUUCAUGUAGGAAUAGACCCCAUCUUUUAUCUUUAAUGGCAACGAUACAUGAGUGUAAUGUCUCUUUCUGUCACUGAGAUUGAGCACCGCAAGAUCAAACCCAUCACAAAGAACCUCUUCCCAUUGCUAGAUAAAAGAUCAAGUUGGACACACAAAAACCAAAUAUUGGAGAAUAACUAAGAGGCUAAAAUAAUCAAGCAUGAAUAUGUU